UACGAAGGGGGCUAGCGUUGCUCGGAAUCACUGGGCGUAAAGGGUGCGUAGGCGGGUCUUUAAGUCAGGGGUGAAAUCCUGGAGCUCAACUCCAGAACUGCCUUUGAUACUGAAGAUCUUGAGUUCGGGAGAGGUGAGUGGAACUGCGAGUGUAGAGGUGAAAUUCGUAGAUAUUCGCAAGAACACCAGUGGCGAAGGCGGCUCUCUGGUCCGGACCUGACGCUGAGGCGCGAAAGCGUGGGGAGCGAACAGG
Molecule: ribosomal RNA, 253 nt
Filed under: uncultured bacterium
Lineage: Bacteria
Description: partial 16S ribosomal RNA
Rfam family: Bacterial small subunit ribosomal RNA
Source: RNAcentral